RNAcentral lists this transfer RNA (77 nucleotides) under Candidatus Komeilibacteria bacterium RIFOXYC1_FULL_37_11. Its description in RNAcentral is "tRNA-Arg". It matches the Rfam family "tRNA". From Rfam's summary of the family: Transfer RNA (tRNA) molecules are approximately 80 nucleotides in length. Their secondary structure includes four short double-helical elements and three loops (D, anti-codon, and T loops). The record is from RNAcentral. Lineage: Bacteria; Candidatus Komeiliibacteriota. RNAcentral also lists the same sequence under 2 other names.
GCACCUGUAGCUCAAUUGGAUAGAGCGGCUGGCUUCGGACCAGUAGGUUGCGGGUUCAAAUCCUGCCGGGUGCACCA